Molecule: RNA transcript, 2444 nt
Organism: Mus musculus (house mouse)
Lineage: Eukaryota; Metazoa; Chordata; Mammalia; Rodentia; Muridae
Gene: Ccdc28a
Gene name: coiled-coil domain containing 28A
Exons: 7
Source: RefSeq, marked validated
AUACAGCCAGUUUCCAUGAGGCCAUGAGACAGGCAGAAGUGGAGUGGCCAACAACAACUCCUCUUUCCCGCAGCCGCUGGAGCCAUACCUGAAGGCGGCUAUGGGAAGACGGAGCCCAAAGCAGAGACGCGAGCAUCGCUAAGGGACCUGGGAGAGGCGGGGCUUUUCGCCUCUCGGAGGGCCCCGCCCAGAUUACGUCACUUCCGUAAACAAAGGGCGCUUGCCUGGGUUUGUGACCCAGGCAGACGAGCUGGGCUCUUGAUGCAGCCCUGGCGGAGGCUUUGAACGCUCUCUUACUUUUCCUAGCCGAGGAAGGGUAACCACAGCCUUUUCUCCCUCCGGUCUUAUGAAGCUGGUGUUAAUGCAACCAAGAAUUUAAGACAAUGGAAGAGCGAAAAGCAAAGAGGAAGAGUCCCAAGUCUUUCAGUGCCCACUCUACUCAGGUUGUUAAUGCCAAAAAAAAUGCCAUCCCAUCUAGUAAAAGCACAGGGUUUUCAAAUCCCACAUCGCAGUCAGCUUCUCAGAGGCCAAAGUUAAAAAGGGUGAUGAAAGAAAAGAACAAACCUCCCGGAGGAGAAGGGAAGGGGGCCCAGUCCACACCCAUCCAGCACUCCUUCCUCACCGACGUCUCGGAUGUCCAGGAGAUGGAGCGCGGCCUCCUCAGCCUGCUGAACGAUUUCCACUCUGGAAAGCUGCAGGCGUUUGGAAAUGAAUGUUCCAUAGAGCAGAUGGAGCAUGUCCGGGGAAUGCAGGAGAAAUUAGCUCGCUUGAAUUUGGAGCUCUACGGGGAGUUAGAGGAACUUCCUGAGGAUAAGCGGAAAGCAGCCAGUGACGCAAACCUGGACAGGCUUCUGUCGGACGGGGCUGAAAAGCUGACUCAGCGUCUAAAAGUACUUGCCGCUCUUGCAGAAGACCCAGAUUCUGUUUCCAGCACCCACAUGGCGGCCCUCGACCCUCUCUAACUUCAGUUCCGGGGAUCUGAAGCCUUCUUCUUGCCUCUGAGGGCACCAGGCACACAUGUGCUGCACAUGCUUACAUUUGGGCAAAGCACACAUACCCAUAAAAUAAAAAUAAAUAUCUAAAACCUUCUUAAGGGAGCUAGGGAGAUGGCUCAGUUGGUAAAAUUCUUGCUACACCAGUGUGAGGGCCUGAGUUCAGAUCCCAGCACCUGUGUGUAAAGUGCCUAUGAUCUCAGCACUCGAGGAGCAGAGACAAGGAGAUCUCUGAGGAUUACAGGCUGCCCUUUCUUGCUGAUAUUGUGAGCUUCAGGUUUGGUGAGAGAUCCUGUCUCAAAGAAAUGAGGUAGAGAACAGUUAAGGAGGACACCCGACCGUGACUUCUGGCCUCCUUAUGUGCAGGCGCACAGCAAAUGAUGCGCACGCGAACAUUUUUUAGAGAACAAAGGAGAAGAAAAAUCUCUCCCCAGCGUAUUUUAGCUUAAUGUUCACUUUCUACACCUUUUCUUUUUGUCUUUCACUUUUUAAAAAAAUAUAUAAGACAACUGUCUGCCCACACUCUAAAAGGCCAGCCUGGGCUAUAUGAGACCUCUCUCAAAAAAAACAAGUGAACAGCCCUUCAAGCCUGUGCCUUAAGUGUCAUCUCUGCCAUGUAUUAUUUGGUCUCACAAGUAUUCAGUUCAUGUUUUAGGCUCUAUUUGUCUUAAAUAUAAGUUUAAUUUGUAUACCUUUAUAGAGCAUUUGGAAAAAUAAAUUUUAAACCAGGAGGUAUAGUGCAAGGCUAGUACUUGGUAACAGCAGGUAGUCUAGUUACUGUACCCACCUACCAUCCUUUCUUUUUUUAAACUUCUUUGAGGUAUUGGAGAUUAAGCCAAGGGCCUCAUGGAUGCUGGACAAGCACUCCACCACUAAACUACAGCCCCAGCAAACAUCUCUUUACUUUGUGCUUCUUCUAAAAUUAAAGUUAGAAGAAUUGAAUUCUUCUAUACAGAAACUGCACUUGGCAGACGCACAGGACGUCCCCAAUGCGUCCAGCAGCUAAAGCGAUCCGCAGCCUCCGUUCCUUCCCAGCUGAGUCCAGUAGCAAAAUCAUCUUCCACCGCAAACUCCGAGUCAUGCGAAUGCGCGUGCAGUGAUCCUGCUCACGCGCCGCUUUCGUCCACGUGCUCGCUGUAAUCCACCGCUGUCGGGGAGGCCUCAUCAGGAAGUGGGGUACAGAGGUGUGCUGCUGUGCUUGCUUCUGUUGCCUUAAGGGUUAUACUUGAAAUGCUUUGUGCUAAACCUUCGGUGGGGCUGAAGGAUCUGUCCUUGCCGCCACCACGCUGACCCAGUGCCUUUGUGGCGCACAGGUGUCCUGUGGUGGCCCAGCUUCUGUUUACGUCAGACAAUCGGUACACACGCAGGUGUGUUUCCCAAUGGCCAGUGACAAAUGUUGAAUAAGUACUUGUGAGAUUUGCUAUUUUUAAUAAAGUGAUUGUUUUAAAUCGU